RNAcentral lists this ribosomal RNA (439 nucleotides) under uncultured bacterium. RNAcentral's name for it is "partial 16S ribosomal RNA". It matches the Rfam family "Bacterial small subunit ribosomal RNA", at positions 339 to 795 of the family's 1533-position model. The record is from RNAcentral.
CUACGGGUUGCAGCAGUGAGGAAUAUUGCACAAUGGGGGGAACCCUGAUGCAGCAACGCCGCGUGGAGGAUGACACUUUUCGGAGCGUAAACUCCUUUUAUAUAGGAAGAAGAUGACGGUACUAUAUGAAUAAGCGCCGGCUAACUCCGUGCCAGCAGCCGCGGUAAUACGGAGGGCGCAAGCGUUACUCGGAAUCACUGGGCGUAAAGAGCGUGUAGGCGGAUUAAAAAGUCAGAAGUGAAAUCCUAUAGCUUAACUAUAGAACUGCUUCUGAAACUCUUAAUCUAGAAUAUGGGAGAGGUAGAUGGAAUUUCUGGUGUAGGGGUAAAAUCCGUAGAGAUCAGAAGGAAUACCGAUUGCGAAGGCGAUCUACUAGAACAUUAUUGACGCUGAGACGCGAAAGCGUGGGGAGCAAACAGGAUUAGAUACCCCCGUAGUC